RNAcentral lists this long non-coding RNA (810 nucleotides) under Elaeis guineensis (African oil palm). RNAcentral's name for it is "long non-coding RNA (EGUI_LNC008186)". Lineage: Eukaryota; Viridiplantae; Streptophyta; Magnoliopsida; Arecales; Arecaceae. The record is from RNAcentral.
GUUGGCAUUCUUUUGCCUCAUAUGCUGCUCAAACGGUCUGGGAUGCUGCAUGUUUCUUGGCUUGUUCGGUGGGCUCCUGAGUUGCAAGUUUAUAAAAUCAUCCAUAUCUCUUUGCUGUUCUUCUAUUUCGACAUCAGGUACAUGGCCGUUAUAACUUUACUGUUAAUGUUGCUUACAGCACAUGGUAGUGUGGAUUUGUAUUAUCUCUAUGUUACUCAAUGUGAUGAAGCUCCUCUUUGCUUAUCUAUGGAGAUGGUCAUUCAGCAAUUAUACCUGGCUAACUUCUAUUCUAUGUAGCUGGUUCUUAUCUGCUUGCUGGAUUAAUUGUUGUCUCUAGAAUAUAUGUUUUGGACUUUAAUCAGGCCAAAUGUUCAGCUAUCGGGGAUGGAUGAGGACAAAUCUUACAUCAACUGUCAAAGUUCCCUUUCCUUGUUUAGAACAUGCUUUUGGAGGUAUGUAAUUGCUUGUUGCUUCUUCAGCUAUUCUGUUACAAGCUGCAACGUGACUGUUAUGAGUUUGCCUUAGUCCACUUAUCACAGAGUUCCGUCUCUUCUUUGCAUCAUAAGUUUCAACCAUCAUUUCAAGUCAUUUGUUGGUUGUAAUUCUCCAUAUAUCUUUGGUUGUUGUGGGUAAUGGGUUGCUAUCAUCUGCUUGCUUUUGCAUUCAGGCUCACUGCAUGCUGCUGCUACUAUAAUUUUCUGUCCCCAUCCUACAGCUGUGUUCCAAGGUUUAUCAAAGCUGGGCCAUGCGGUCGCCGGCUUAAAUUUCUCCAUGUAUCUUUGCUUCGGAACAAAACAAUUAAGAUCAGAC